Molecule: ribosomal RNA, 780 nt
Filed under: uncultured bacterium
Lineage: Bacteria
Description: bacterial SSU rRNA
Rfam family: Bacterial small subunit ribosomal RNA
Source: RNAcentral
AAAGGGACUUCGGUCCUGAGUAGAGUGGCGCACGGGUGAGUAACGCGUAGGUAAUCUACCUCUGCAUCUGGGAUAACACUUCGAAAGGGGUGCUAAUACCGGAUACACUCAUGCAUCGCGAGAUGUAUGAGGAAAGGAGACCUCUCCUUGGAAGUUUCUGUGUAGAGAUGAGCCUGCGUCCCAUUAGCUAGUUGGCAGGGUAAAGGCCUACCAAGGCGACGAUGGGUAGCGGGUCUGAGAGGAUGAUCCGCCACACUGGAACUGAAACACGGACCAGACUCCUACGGGAGGCAGCAGUGAGGAAUAUUGGACAAUGGGCGCAAGCCUGAUCCAGCGACGCCGCGUGAGUGAUGAAGGCCUUUGGGUCGUAAAGCUCUGUCAGCAGGGAAGAACGGCCGUGUGGUUAAUACCCAUGCGGAUUGACGGUACCUGCAGAGGAAGCACCGGCUAACUCCGUGCCAGCAGCCGCGGUAAUACGGAGGGUGCGAGCGUUAAUCGGAAUUACUGGGCGUAAAGGGCGCGUAGGCGGCUGAUCAAGUCAGAUGUGAAAGCCCACGGCUUAACCGUGUGAAGUGCAUCUGAAACUGGUCGGCUUGAGUAUCGGAGAGGAAAGUGGAAUUCCCGGUGUAGAGGUGAAAUUCGUAGAUAUCGGGAGGAAUACCGGUGGCGAAGGCGACUUUCUGGACGAAUACUGACGCUGAGGCGCGAAAGCGUGGGGAGCAAACAGGAUUAGAUACCCUGGUAGUCCACAGCUGUAAACGAUGUGCACUAGAUGUGGGG